RNAcentral lists this ribosomal RNA (253 nucleotides) under uncultured bacterium. RNAcentral describes it as "partial 16S ribosomal RNA". It matches the Rfam family "Bacterial small subunit ribosomal RNA", at positions 524 to 776 of the family's 1533-position model. The record is from RNAcentral.
UACAGAGGUCUCAAGCGUUGUUCGGAUUCACUGGGCUUAAAGGGCGCGUAGGCGGGCGACCCGGUCAGGGGUGAAAGCUUUCGGCUCAACCGGAAGAGUGCCUCUGAUACCGGUCGCCUCGAGGGAGGUAGGGGCAUGCGGAACUUCCGGUGGAGCGGUGAAAUGCGUAGAUAUCAAGUGGAACACCAGUGGCGAAGGCGAAUCCCUGGAAAAUACCUGACACUGAGGCACGAAAGCUAGGGGAGCAAACAGG